GCGAGGGUGGCGGAAUUGGUAGACGCAGCAGGUUUAGGUCCUGCCGCCGUUAGGUGUGGGGGUUCGAGUCCCCCCUCUCGCACCA
Molecule: transfer RNA, 85 nt
Filed under: Chitiniphilus shinanonensis
Lineage: Bacteria; Pseudomonadati; Pseudomonadota; Betaproteobacteria; Neisseriales; Chitinibacteraceae
Also listed under: 1 other name
Description: tRNA-Leu
Rfam family: tRNA
About the family: Transfer RNA (tRNA) molecules are approximately 80 nucleotides in length.
Source: RNAcentral